CUCCAGGCCUGACUACUGCAAUUCGCUCUACGCGGGGCUGCCCUUGAAGCUGUCCCAGAAACUCCAGCGGGUGCAGAAUGCUGCAGUGAGGCUCCUCACAGAGAACUUAAUUCAUUCUGGAGGUCUUUUCUUAACCUGAAACUGUUCUUUUUAAAAUAAUAAUAAUAAUAAUUUUAUUGAGUUUUCAUAUUUAAUUACAUCUCAUUACACAAGUCUAUAACAUAAAGCAUUGCUCAGGCAGAGCAUCGACUUCCUUCUCUCCCUCUUUCUGACUUCCAAACAUCUUUUACUAAAUUCUCGCAUUUCUAUAACCACUUUUUAACCUUAAGACUUCUUCUUUUUUAUAACAAUUACCUCCUUAUGUGUAAAUCAGUUCCUUAUUUUCACAUUACAAAGCAUUUCAGUUCAAACCUACAAACGUUUUCAAAUGUUUACAAUUUUCUUCCAUAUAAAAUAUAAAUUUGCUCCAGUCCUUUCGAAACAGUUCAUCUUGCCGAUUCCAGAUCUGAAACUGUUCUUAACCUGAGGUACCACUUUAGCUAAAGGGGCCUCCUGCUGCCGCCACACGAUUUCUGUUCUCAUCCUGAAGCAAAGUUCUUAACCUGGGGUACUAUUUCUGGGUUAGCAGAGUCUGUAACCUGAAGCGUCUGUAACCUGAAGCGUAUGUAACCCAAGGUACCACUGUAUAAGGAGGGAAAGGGGUCCCAGUUGCUGCAACUGCUCCAUAGGGCCCAGACCUGUGGACCACUGCUCAGAGGCUAGAAGCAUGUGGAUAUGUGUAUCUGGAGCACCUUGAGAGCUGCUGCAAGUGUUUCUCUUGCCAAUAAAGAGUUAACUAUCUGAUGUGUGGCUUACCUUAUCUGGGAUUGGCUGUGACACUGGCUUGCCAACAAAGGCAGGAUACUUGUCUUGACAUUCUAGAGUGCCUACAGUGAGCAAAGCUCUUGGUCAGAGGGCUGCUCCUUUCUGGAUCUUCACCCUUCAGUGUGAAGGAAGAACCCAGGAGGAUAUUCACAUCCAGGGAACAUAAAAGGGCUUAGCUGAGAAUGUGAGGCCGAGCUCUUAUAAGGAGUUGCUUUCCCCCUGGAGAAACCAAUGAGGUUUUUUGCCCCUUUUCUUUGAGUUCAGAUAAGGGAUAGCUGUUCUCCCUGCUAGCACUCUGAUGCAAAAUCAUAGAGGACAAAUAGUGCAAGUAGCACAGAAAAUGCCAUUAGGUGUCCUGCCAAAGGACUGAGCAGAAUUUUGACUAGUUACACAUUUAAAGCCAAAUCUAUGGAAUUUCCUUUGAAAUUGCACAUAUCCAAAUUUUGUGAUGCCAUUCUUCAACCAAACAACAUUUACAAAAAUGCAUGUAUUGGAAUGGAAUGGGGUGUGCCUAAAGAUGGAGAUAUUAGUGAAAAUAGCACACCAAAAUACAGUAUAUUAGGAGAAAUUGCUUGGUAAAUGGCUACAAUAUCUGUGUUUAUUUGCACUAAAACACCGGUGACAUUUCAUGAUGAUUGGUUUCUUUUAAUUGCAAAUUGCUGUAAAAUGUGGAAAACUGAAUUUAAGAUUGGGUGGGGGGGACAAGCAACAGGGAGAGUUGAAACUGACAGAUCCUUCCAUCCCUAGUCCCAUCACACACAACUGGCACAACUGCAUUAUCAGAUCAGCAUCAUCUAUGCUUAUUGUUUUAAAAAUGCAAACAACACCAUUGUUCUAGGGAAAACAAACACGACAAAAUAUUGAAGCAUUUGUCAAACAGAGCGGCAAUCUGAACACAUAUUUCUUCAGAAUCGUUGGGUUUUAUUUUAUUUAUCUUGUUUUUUUUUAUUAUUUUGCAACCUGAGAGGAAUACUAAAGAUGGCACACGCUGCAUUUCCCUCCUACCACUUAAUCUUGAACAAAUAUAACAACUCUUCUGAUAGAGGUGGCCAAGGGGCUAAGCCGCAGUGGCAAGCCCCAUCAUGAUGAUGUAUUCAUAGUUCACAGAGUGCUAAGUCGUUGCAUUUGGCUCUGCAGCCUGCAAUUACACACAUUGCAAGCACCAGAAAUCCCCCCCCUUUCCCCUUCACAGUUAUUUCAGGCCCUUAAAAGGAAGCUCUGGCAUUCUUUGUGUAGCGAAUGACAUUAACUUAUGUUUCUAACUUGCCUUAUUAACCUUUUCUAAGACACAGGCUGGGAAAUGCCGGGGAGAAAUGCUACCCAAUUUUGGCAUAAACCCAUCUGGGAAACCGGUUCUCAGGGUCUAGGGAAACCUCUAAGCAGCAGAAGGUACGUAUGUUACUUCAGAUAUGUGAAGUGGAACAUCGGUUUGUUCAGAUGUCCAGUUAAAUGAUCCAAUUUAUCAAAGGCUGUUGUCCAUCUCUGCUGCCUAAGGGCUUUUUUGGGAGGUGGGGUUCUCCAGAAACACACUCUAUUUGGGACUUUUAUUUCCACAAACAAGCACACUUACUAGGGAAAGGUCCCCACCAAGCACAGUCAGAUUUACUUCUGAGUAAAUGUUCCCUUGUGGGAGGCAGAGGAAAACAGGAGUGCUCUGGUCCUUGGGGUCACGAAGAGUCGGACACGACUAAAUGACUAAACAACAACAAACAACAAAAAAUGUUCCCUGGUUUUGCAUUCAUAGAAUCAUAGUAUUGUGGAGUUGGACGUGUCCCUGAGGGUCAUCUAAGCUAACUUCUUGCAGUGCAGGAAUCCUGCCCACAGCCAUCCCUGGGUGGGUUUGAACUACUGACCUUCUGAUUAACAGCUAGACACGCCAACCCACUGCACCACAGGAGAUUUUGGUUUCCUUAGGUUCACCAGUGGGGUGGCAAGCAAACUUGUCUUAAAGGUGAGGCCUGAUUCUAGGAGCUAGUGCUUACCUAAAAGAUAGAGAUAUGCACAUGUUGUUGCCUCCUAGUGGCCCAAAGGCACUGGAAAAGUCAAGCCUGCACACGCUCCAGACCCCAAGCUUUCGUCUAGGAUGGGUGCCGGGCUGAAGCUUGUGUGAACAGAGGAUGAAAGAAAACCCAGUGUUUGCUGCACAUUGCUGGCGUAGUCUCUGUUUGUUGCAAGUGUUUAAGUUAUCUUGAUACCAGUAUAAGUGGCCCAGGGUAAAAGCUUCUCAGAACUAACAGGCAGACACAACAUCCCCUCUUGUCCCAGUGUUGAAAUGCAAUGCCAUUCUUAGGGGUGGCACAGGAGAUGCCACUGAUCCCAAUCUAUGCCAGGGCUGGCCUGCUGUGCAUGGCUCAAAGUGAGAACUAUGCAGUCACGGAAAAGAAAUUAAUAUAAAUUGUUGCAAUAUUUGCCUUAUACCAGGUCAAGCCAUUGGCCCAUUGAGCUCAGUAUUGUCUACUCUGAUUGGCAGUGGCUCUCCUGGGUACCAGGCAGGGCACUCUCCCAGCCCUGGCUGGAGAUGGCAUAGGCUGAACCUGAGACAAUCUGUAUGCAAAGCAGAUGCUCUACCACAGAGUCUUCUAACGCUAUUGCCACCAAUCAUUUCCCACUCUUUGUGUUUUGCCCCUUGUUUUCUCAGUAGUGAUGUAUGGAAGUAAGAGCUGGACCAUAAAGAAGGCUGAUCGCCAAACAAUUGAUGCUUUUGAAUUAUGGUGCUGAAGGAGACUCUUGAGAGUCCCAUGGACUGCAAGAAGAUCAAACCUCUCCAUUCUGAAGGAAAUCAGCCCUGAGUGCUCACUGGAAGGACAGAUUGUGAAGCUGAGGCUCCAAUACUUUGGCCACCUCAUGAGAAGAGAAGACUCCCUGGAAAAGACCCUGAUGUUGGGAAAGACUGAGGGCACAAGGAGAAGGGGACGACAGAGGACGAGAUGGUUGGACAGUGUUCUCAAAGCUACCAGCAUGAGUUUGACCAAACUGCGGGAAGCAGUGGAAGACAGGAGUGCCUGGCGUGCUCUGGUCCAUGGGGGUCACAAAGAGUCGGACAUGACUAAAUGACUAAACAACAACAACACUUCUAGACUCUGUUACCAAGAUCUAUGGGCUCCAUCCCUGGGUGCAGAGCUCUAAGAUUUUAUCACUGGGCAAAUAGACCCCAUCCUUUAACCUAGACAAUUUCCAGUGCCUGAUCCUUUGGGGGUAUUGCCCAUAGAAGAAGAAGAAGAGUUUGGAUUUGAUAUCCCGCCUUUCACUCCCUUUAAGGAGUCUCAAAGCGGCUAACAACCUCCUUUCCCUUCCUCCCCCACAACAAACACUCUGUGAGGUGAGUGGGGCUGAGAGACUUCAGAGAAGUGUGACUGGCCCAAGGUCACCCAGCAGCUGCAUGUGGAGGAGCGGAGAUGCGAACCCGGUUCCCCAGAUUACGAGACUACCGCUCUUAACCACUACACCACAUUGGCUCAGCUAUAGAGCCGGCCCAAUACAUUUUGGCACCUGAGGCAGACCCCAGAAUGGCAUGCCCCCUCCCCACCAGGGAAGAAGGGUGAUGGAAGAUCUACAUCAGGAACAAGGAAGGGAGGAAGAUCAGGUUCUGCUGCUCCUAUGGAUCCCGCCACCUGAGGCAGUCACUUCACCUUGCCUUAUGGGUGGGCUGAAUCUGCCCAGGUGUCAGAAUGUUGACUUCCAACCCUCUUUCAUGUGUAACAAUUCACCAAUGAUUGCAGCUUUGGUAGCUCAAUCUCACAUGGCCAGAGUCCACAGCAUAGUUCCUUCCUGUACUGGCUUUGUUUUAGCAUCCGAGAUAAGAGAUGCUGUCACGAGAAGGAGUCAUCUCACCUACAAAAUUGGGCAUCUGAAGCUACCUGAGUGGCUGCAGCAGCCUACUUUUACACUACUGAGCUAAAAAUCAGAAGGGGCUCUCUGGUUAAAAAGAAGCCCCAUUUUGUCUGUGCCACCUGCCAGUUACAGGCAUUCAGACUGUGUCUACAAAACAGGAAGCCAAUUAAUUUAAUUACCCAGUCUUCCGACCUCAAUGGACUCCACAAUGCAGCUUGCGACAAUAACAAAAAGAUUAAAUCUGAAAGAAUCUAAAUUAAAAGCCCGUACCAAAAAAAUAAAAAUCUAUGUAACAUUUUUCUAACAAGAACUAAAACUAUUGCAGAAGACAGAGCAUCCUUUCAUUUUUUAAUCACACCAAUUGAUUGGUGGAUCUGUUCCCCAGGGCUCAAGCACAAGUAUGAAUAAGCCCUUAGAGAAAGAAAGUCUUUACCUUUCUUCUGGCUCAGGUGUCAAUAACAGCCACCUGCAACUAACUGCUUACAGAGACAGGAUAAUGUAUUAGAAGGUGAACCACUGUCCUGACCCAAUAUGGUUGCUGUUUGGUUUUCAUGAAUAUACUUUGUCAUUUCCUUUUGUUCUGAAGCUAAAUUAAGGCUUGGG
This 5298-nucleotide long non-coding RNA is filed under the name Podarcis lilfordi (Lilford's wall lizard). Lineage: Eukaryota; Metazoa; Chordata; Lepidosauria; Squamata; Lacertidae. The record is from RNAcentral.